GUUCAGUGUUUAUCAUCUUUGCUUAUCGUGGCUUCUUUUUCUAUUAGCAGAUGAGAGACCCCUUGAAUUGCUUGCUAAAGCAUAUGCUAUCAACUCUUUUGACAUAGAUCCUCAGAACCCCUCUGAUGUUGUUUUCACGUUAGAAUGGGAACCAAUCGGUGUCCUACCUUGUGGCGAGAAGAAAGAUAAUUUUUACUACCAAGGUAUCUCAGUCAGAAUUCUAGGCUCAUUCAUACAUUCACUACAAUGCCUUCGAACUCAUGAACGUUUAUCUCUGGCUCUAUUGUGGUGGGUUACAUGAAUAGAGUUUUUGCAUGUUCUUCGUUUUAUAUGGUGACAUACUUGUUACUAUGUGACAUUGUUUGAUGAAACCCUUGCGGCAUUGUAUUAUUUA
Long non-coding RNA from Zea mays, 394 nucleotides. RefSeq lists it as uncharacterized. The record is from RefSeq and is a predicted model, not a curated record. NCBI's taxonomy places the organism in Eukaryota, Viridiplantae, Streptophyta, Magnoliopsida, Poales, Poaceae. The transcript is spliced from 2 exons.